Molecule: ribosomal RNA, 346 nt
Filed under: uncultured bacterium
Lineage: Bacteria
Description: partial 16S ribosomal RNA
Rfam family: Bacterial small subunit ribosomal RNA
Source: RNAcentral
CCUACGGGAGGCAGCAGUGAGGAAUAUUGGUCAAUGGCCGUAAGGCUGAACCAGCCAAGUCGCGUGAAGGAAGAAGGAACUAUGGUUUGUAAACUUCUGUUAUAGGGGAAUAAAGGUAUCCACGUGUGGAUAUUUGCAUGUACCCUAUGAAUAAGCAUCGGCUAACUCCGUGCCAGCAGCCGCGGUAAUACGGAGGAUGCGAGCGUUAUCCGGAUUUAGUGGGUUUAAAGGGUGCGUAGGUUGUUUUUUAAGUCAGCGGUGAAAGUUUGGGGCUCAACCAUAAAAUUGCCGUUGAAACUGGUUUUCUUUAGUGCGCGAGAAGUAUGCGGAAUGCGUGUUGUAGCGG